CAACUUUCUCGAUCUGUUAUUUCAAUCGCCUGUUUUGUUUCAUUAGGGUUUUUCAUUUUAGGAUUUUUUUCAUCUCAUAAAUCUAUUACGAUUUCUUUUUCUGAUUUCGUUUUAGGGUUUUUUUUCAUCUGAUAAAUCUAAUACGACUUCUUUUUUCUGAUUUCAUAUUAAGGUUUUGAUAUUUUUUGGGGGAUUUUGUUGUUGCAGGAUAAGUUGAGUUCAUUGUCAUUAGGAGGAAAACCUAAGUUUCAUGAAUCCCUUUCAAUUAAUGGUAGGAAACGUGAUGAAGUUCUGCAAGAGAUUCAGAUUUGAGGUUCCUAAGAACACAAAUCUGGGAAAGCAAGUUUAGCAAAGGACUAUCUCUUAGGGGGUUCACAGAUGAUUGAAGAGAGGCUUGAUCUUGAGCGCUUGUACUGCUAAACCUUCUCUAGGCGAUUGGGGAAGACAUCUGUAAGUAAGAGUACAAUUUUAAUAUUCAUGCGUGGAGAUUUAAUGCACCUCAGCAGUUUGAGGCGAGUUCAGACUUGCCGUGAAUGCUGCUUCUUUGCUGCUCAUGUUUGCUCCUGAUCCUAACUACUCAACAAAUAGAUGGUAUGACCUAAUUCAGAAAAAAGAGAAAGACGCAUAGGACUACGUAUGAAAAUGAAAGGUUGAUGAGAGAGUUAUAAACUCGAAGGAAAGAAAUCAAGCAGAAGGGUAAGGAAAUAGAUAAUGCGAUGGCUGAAAUGGGGAGGUUACUUAUCUAUGAAGCGUCAAGGACCUAGUACGUUGGGUUGUCUAUGAGGUUACUUAACAGGACAGAGCCUUUGUGACUACUAAACACUGAUGAUGAGAAAUACUCUUGGGAGUCACAACUCACAAGCUGGUGGAUCAUGCACUGUUACCAGAGUUGUAGAUGGUUAGCAGUUGAGUAGAGGAACCAGAAUCACUCUCUUCCUCAAAGAAGGUAAGGAUUUGUUGGAGGAGCAUACUCAGGAAGUGUACAAGGAGCUGAAAUCUUGGAGACCUUGAAGGAUUUAAGUAGUGGGGAGUGAUUCUGAGAUUGCUGAAGUCUGUUUUGAGGAAGAAGUGUGAUGAUGUGCACCAAUAACAAGGAUCUUUCGGUGAGAUUACGAAAGAUGGUUGGUGUGGAACGAGGUCGUUUAUAUGAAAACACAUGCAGGUCGAGUGAAUUCUGAAGAAAGCUAAGAGUUUUUUAGGUCAAGAGAUGAUGCAGCUUGGUCAAUCUCUCUACAACUAAAGUCUUCCUGGGAGUUGGCAGUUUAUUUGCUGGAUUGUUUGGCACCAUAACGGUUCAACUGUAUAUAUGCAAGUCAUUUACAAUCAAAUUUCCCCAUCCUUCAGAAGCAACAUUUUUUCUACCAUUUGUAGCUCUUGAUUCAGUAUUUCUAAGUAGAGCAAUUGCAAGUUUUCUGUGUAUUUUCUAAGUUAGGAGAACUUGUGAACUGAACUUGGUAAGUUUCAGUAUAUUCCCUUAGUAUUUGAUACUUAACAAAAAAAGAUUUGCUAGAACUUGUGAACUGAACUUAGUAAGUUUCUGUAUAUUCCCUUAGUAUUUGAUACUUAACAAAACAAAAAAUUGGUACUUA
Long non-coding RNA from Papaver somniferum (opium poppy), 1589 nucleotides. RefSeq lists it as uncharacterized. The record is from RefSeq and is a predicted model, not a curated record. The transcript is spliced from 8 exons. NCBI's taxonomy places the organism in Eukaryota, Viridiplantae, Streptophyta, Magnoliopsida, Ranunculales, Papaveraceae.